Molecule: non-coding RNA, 267 nt
Organism: Vicia faba (fava bean)
Lineage: Eukaryota; Viridiplantae; Streptophyta; Magnoliopsida; Fabales; Fabaceae
Source: the annotation of a GenBank genome assembly
AUGGAGCAGAUAAUGGAGAUGUUACCUAAAAAAUUGAUAGCCAAGUUGAAAAAUUGCAAGGACCCUGCUUUGCGCCAUAUUUUUAAGGAAGUAACAAAGAAGAAUGAGGUUUUGACUCUGUCCAGGUUUCGCUAUCCACGGUCGAGGCCGCUCAGACACUGGAUCCUUCUUGCAAGAAGGUCUGUGUAUGAGUCAUUCAAAAAUGCCUUGCAACAGAUGGAACACUUUUACCCCGGUGCAUAUUUCGAGGAAGCAGGUCCUUCCUGA